GACGAACGCUGGCGGCGUGCUUCAUACAUGCAAGUCGAACGAGAAUCUGACUUCGGUCAGAGGAAAGUGGCGGACGGGUGAGUAAAAUGUAGAGAAUCUGCCUAUGAGUGGGGGGACAACAUUGGGAAACCGAUGCUAAUACCGCAUAUGAGUAUAUUUGAGAUAAUAUACUUGAAAACUAGAGGUGCUCAUAGAUGAGUCUGCAUCUGAUUAGCUAGUUGGGGGUGUAAUGGACCACCAAGGCGACGAUCAGUAGCCGGCCUGAGAGGGUGAACGGCCACAUUGGGACUGAGACACGGCCCAG
RNAcentral lists this ribosomal RNA (304 nucleotides) under uncultured bacterium. Its description in RNAcentral is "bacterial SSU rRNA". It matches the Rfam family "Bacterial small subunit ribosomal RNA", at positions 28 to 334 of the family's 1533-position model. The record is from RNAcentral.